Molecule: long non-coding RNA, 732 nt
Filed under: Homo sapiens (human)
Lineage: Eukaryota; Metazoa; Chordata; Mammalia; Primates; Hominidae
Description: HSALNT0056166
Source: RNAcentral
GGGAAGACCAAUAUUAGCAACAAGAAGCCUCUGCCACCAUGGAAGAAGGAUCUGGAAAGAAGGAUGGGAUCUCAGCCUGAUGGCAGGUCUUACCCAAGAGGGAAUUUUUUUCUCAGGAGAGUGAAGAAAGCCUGGCUUUCCUCAUCAGCUCUCUUUGUGUUGAAUUCAUCAGUCAUGACAAUCAUUUGAGAAACCUUAGAAGAUCAUCCCAAACCUGGAAAAAGUCAGUUACAUUAGGAAAGGAGUGAGCAUAAAGAGCACCUACUAGAGAGAGGGUCCUUUCACACACAUGACCUCAUGUAACCUUCACAAUCAUGCCAUGAGGAAUUUGAUUUCCUUAUGCCAGCUGCUUCCCCAGAGACAGUGACACCAACUCUUCUGGGUUGUUGAGAGGGUAAACAAACCGUGAUGAAUGAAUCUCCUCUCCUAAUAUGAAUGCCUUAUUGUUGUUAUUCUUCAUGCCCUGACAGAGUAUUUACAGCCUCUGCUGUUGCUCUGCUUCUAUCUGGUGGAUUAAGGAAAGUCACAACUCACAGCCCUAGUGGAAAGUUACAACUGGGAUUUGAGCUAACGAAGAGUUGAAGACUCAGCAACAGGCGCUUGGCUUCACUAUUAACCUGGACAAGGCCAUUAACUCGCCUGUACUUAAUUGGCUUGUUCUGUGACACACUGUUGCCCCAGAAACACCCAUAUGGGUGUACCCCACAUUAAAGAAGCCCGCUCUAUGAAAAC